Molecule: transfer RNA, 72 nt
Filed under: Marseillevirus LCMAC202
Lineage: Varidnaviria; Bamfordvirae; Nucleocytoviricota; Megaviricetes; Pimascovirales; Marseilleviridae
Description: tRNA-His
Rfam family: tRNA
About the family: Transfer RNA (tRNA) molecules are approximately 80 nucleotides in length. Their secondary structure includes four short double-helical elements and three loops (D, anti-codon, and T loops).
Source: RNAcentral
GUUCGCUUAGUUCAGUGGUUAGAACUCCGCACUGUGGCUGCGGCAACCCCGAUUCAAUUUCGGGAGUGGACC